RNAcentral lists this long non-coding RNA (1038 nucleotides) under Nicotiana benthamiana. RNAcentral's name for it is "long non-coding RNA (NBEN_LNC017632)". Lineage: Eukaryota; Viridiplantae; Streptophyta; Magnoliopsida; Solanales; Solanaceae. The record is from RNAcentral.
UUCAUAAAACCCGCCGGAAACCAGCCCGCGCACGACCUUUCUCAUCGGAACUGGUCAUUUCUGCUUCAUCAUUAACACACACACUGGCACAAGAUGAAAAAAUCAAACACAACCGCCUCCUUCAUCUUCAAAUCCCCCUCUCUCUCGUUUUUCUAGUCUCAAUCUCCAUCGCCUACGAGAUUCGCCUAAAGCUGGCGAAAAUUGACCCCCUUAACCUAUUAGUUACCGUUCAAUUCUCUGAGUUUCAGAACCACUUGUUACACAAAGCUUCAGUUCUCCGCAAUCGGAAUUCAAGGAGGCAAGCUGCUUGAUUUUGUUUUGAAUCCGAGGCAAUCCGGUUAGCGUUCGAUGAGAUCUCCGGCGAGAUUUUCCGGCUUAAACCUCGUUCGUGGUCUUGUUCGUUCCAUCGACUAGCAUUUUCAGAAAUGUAAGUCAAUUAAAUUUAAGGUUCACUUGGGUUAUUUCCCCCUUCUUGCUAUUUUAAUUUGAUUUCACGCUUUUGUGGUUUGUAAACCUAUUUUGACUGGAAUCUUGGAUUUAAUAUCUCAUCUCCUUGCUCAUGAUUUCUUAACAAUAUUUGGUUGUGGUUUUGCUAUUCCAUGUUAUGGUCGAUCUAUUUUUGCUUAUUUUGUACUAGGAUGAAAAUCUGGUUGAUUUGUGUUUUAAUACGGAAUUUAGCUCGAUUUAUGUCGACCUAAUUCCCUAGCAACAGUGUAGUUUGUUUUAAUUUCAUAUAUAAGGUUUUCAUAUGUGCUUGAUAUAGUUUCACUUAGUUUAAGUGAAGAUUUUCUUGAUUCAGUAUAUUGGCAUUCUUCUCUUGUGGAAGUCAUGGAUAAGUCUAGAGUCUCUCGUGGAAUUGAAAUUCUGUUAACCAACUUGACAAUUUGUAAAGAUAAGUUGCUCGCACUCAAGGCUUUGGAUGUUGUAAUUAAAGCUUAUUCUGAUUCUAAUUUGUUUGAUAAAGAUGUUGAAUUGUAUUACUUCAUGCUCAAAACUUACACGAUUUGGUUCACAUGGAGUUACUGUUAAUUCUUUACU